AUAUCACGUAAAAUUGUGAUGUAAUCGAUGAACCAUAUAUUUUCAAUUAAGUGAAUAUUUAGUUGAAGGUUUUCGGCCUAGUGAUCAAACGCAGUCAUUGGAUGACACCUGUGGGUUCCGCAGUUACUAAUACGGGCCCCGCUUAGAAGCCAAUGGGACGAUACUUUUGUGUGUUUGGUGAUCUGAGAUUGGAAACCUACCUACGUCAAAAGUCAAUAAUGGUACAUGUAUGGAGAGGCCGAGUCAUCACCCGUGUGACCGAUUUCGGUGCCGAGUCGUACUUCCCCAUGUGCCUCACUCACCUGUACGACCCAGAAGGAAACACAGCGUGCGCGUACGAUCGAGAACGAAACAGAGCCUCCGCACUGCACCGGGAAGGGGAAAAUACGUGGUCGCGGCAGCGUCACCUCCUUCAUCCACCGCCGAGCCCGGUUGUGGAUUCCGCAGGGCUCGCAGAAAGGCGCGAUCUUGAGCGUGGAUUCCCGGCUUCCGGUGCUCAAUUUGCUUGGCCUGCAAGAAAGAUGGCAGCUUGAUUAGGACGAGCACUUCAUCUGAUUUCGGCGAUAUUGUUCUCAAACAGUCUCUUACAGAGACUGAGGGGUUUGAUCAAGAAAGAAGAAGGAAUAAAGGGAAGAAGGCUGGAAUACGCAGAAUCCAUAUUGACCAAAAAGGAGAGAUUUUGUGGUCCUUUUUUAUUCUUCUUCAACAUGGUAACCUCAUCUCUCUGUUGAUUGCCAGUCCAGAUUGAGAGAGAGAGAGAGAGAGAGAGAGAGGAAAAGAACCAGCUGCUUUAUCCUCCUCCUUUUGUUCUCUGUUGCAAGUCUUCCAUUUUGGUCUGCCUCCCUAUUUGCAGCAGCUUAUUUCCAUGUUCCUGAGAUCGAAGAUUCAAGAUAUUAUUCUGAGGGAGAGGUCCAAGGCAGUCAGCAGGAAAAAAGAGUUGAUGCCCGAUACCACCUCUUCCCCACCUCCCAACCCCGCCUUCACUUCUCCAAAUCUCCUUGUGGAGGGCUGCUCUGUGAGGAAGAGUUCCAUGUACUCUGAGGACGCAAUAGGUCCCAAGUCCAUGCUAGCGACCAUACCAUUCUUUGCCACUGGGAACCGGUCCUCAUCUGAUAGUAGAGACUGCAAGACAAAGCCCCUGUCAGUAGAGACUGCAGCUGCCACCACUGGCACUGAGAGCAGACACCAUCCUUGGCACAAUCGAAGCUCACGAGCCAUUGGACUUGGCCUUGUUGAUGCUCUGAGCAAUGAGGAGACUGGUGAUGUAGGGUGUACGAUGGUUGUCUUUGGGUGUCAGCUUAAGAUUCAAACACUUCCUGGUCUAUCCAACUCCAUGUCCCCUGUGUCCAUUGAGUCUCCUCGGUCUAUCAUGGAGUUCGGUAGCAAGACUAAGACUUCUCAGAUGGAUUCAUAUUUACCUGGCAGAACGGUUUCUGGUUGUCUUUUCUCCUCAGUUGUUCAUGGGUCACAUGUCCCCAACCGAGAUUGAGCUCUCAGAAGAUUACACUUGUGUGAUAUCGCAUGGGCCUAUCCUGAAGAAAACACAUAUCUUUCAUGAUUGCAUCAUUGAGAGCUGCGACAGAGAGUUCCUUACCUUGAAGAAGAGUACAUGUAUGGAUGAUCCGUCAGGAUAUGCUGCAGAUACUUCAUUGAGCUGCUGUGUUUCUUGCAAGGAGGAUAUUGGGAAGGGGAAGGGAAUUUCUCUUUACAGAGGAGAGAAAGGAUUGUGUAGCCAUGAAUGCGGCUACCAAGAGGUGGUCUCCGAUGAAUAGACAGAGAACGCUGACCGAGUAUCUGAAAUCAGCAUGUUCUCUUCCUGGAAGUGAACUUUGGGUGUCUGCUUCCUUGUAUAGUUUCUUUUUCAGAAGUCUUCUGGGUUAAAAUCAGGAUACUAAGAGCCAUCAAAAGUAAUUUUAUUGAAUAGUUCGGGUUAACCAUAAAUGAGGCUGGUAUGGUGAGAUUUUGCCGGUGUGGUUUUUUCUGAUUGCUUGUGAUUUCUAUUCAUGCUUUUUUGUUAAUGCAGGUGAGGAACCAGUAAUAAUUGUCAAUCAGGUUAUGUUAGAAACAUUUUAUGUAGAAUUCUGAUAUAUAGCAACUAGCAAGCAUGCUUCAUUCAGAAUUCCAAUUAAGCAGCCAACCAUCACAGAAGUGGCCAAAUAGGGUUUCCACAGAAUGCAGUCCCAUCCAGCAUUCUCUUGGUGGUGUUGCUAGUCCACAUGCUAAAAUGAGCAGCGCAAGAAUCAUUCCUGAAUUGUAUGUCAGACAAACUCUAGAAAGUGAUUUGCCAA
This is a long non-coding RNA of Musa acuminata AAA Group (dessert banana), 2288 nucleotides long. RefSeq lists it as uncharacterized. The transcript is spliced from 4 exons. Lineage: Eukaryota; Viridiplantae; Streptophyta; Magnoliopsida; Zingiberales; Musaceae. The record is from RefSeq and is a predicted model, not a curated record.